GGGGAGGAAACAACAGAAUGUAGGUUUUAUUUGCAAUGAUUUAGAAAUGAAAUUUUGAAUAAGUGAUAAGUCUUUGAGCGAGGGAACGGAUGGAGAGAUAUGGGAAUAAAUGGAAAGAGUUACAAGGCAGAAAAAGGGAGAGGAAUUGGAUGGCCUUCUAGGGGACUAUGGUGUUAAACCGAAAACCUUCUUAAGGAAACAUGGGUUGCUAUUUCUGGUGUGUGGCCAGCUGGUGGCCAGAAAGUGUGUGAAAAUGGUGUACCUCAUCUGCUGUAUUAUUAACAAUUAUGUAUUGCAUUUGUGAGCUGUAUGUUGUGUUAAUAGUUAUAUGUGUGUGAGUGGCCAAAUAUGGGUUAGAUUUCACAUCAUUUCCUUGUCACAUUAUCUACUAAUUUUCUUUACUGUGUAAU
This 410-nucleotide long non-coding RNA is filed under the name Carica papaya (papaya). Its description in RNAcentral is "long non-coding RNA (CPAP_LNC011955)". Lineage: Eukaryota; Viridiplantae; Streptophyta; Magnoliopsida; Brassicales; Caricaceae. The record is from RNAcentral.